RNAcentral lists this ribosomal RNA (581 nucleotides) under uncultured bacterium. RNAcentral describes it as "bacterial SSU rRNA". It matches the Rfam family "Bacterial small subunit ribosomal RNA", at positions 870 to 1451 of the family's 1533-position model. The record is from RNAcentral.
CGCCUGGGGAGUACGGUCGCAAGAUUAAAACUCAAAGGAAUUGACGGGGGCCUGCACAAGCGGUGGAGCAUGUGGUUUAAUUCGAAGCAACGCGCAGAACCUUACCAGCCUUUGACAUCCUAGGACGGUUUCUGGAGACAGACUCCUUCCCUUCGGGGACCUAGUGACAGGUGCUGCAUGGCUGUCGUCAGCCCGUGUCGUGAGAUGUUGGGUUAAGUCCCGCAACGAGCGCAACCCUCGUCCUUAGUUGCCAUCAUUUAGUUGGGCACUUUAAGGAAACUGCCGGUGAUAAGCCGGAGGAAGGUGGGGAUGACGUCAAGUCCUCAUGGCCCUUACAGGCUGGGCUACACACGUGCUACAAUGGCAUCUACAGUGGGCAGCUAUCCCGCAAGGGUGAGCUAAUCUCCAAAAGAUGUCUCAGUUCGGAUUGUCCUCUGCAACUCGAGGGCAUGAAGGCGGAAUCGCUAGUAAUCGCGGAUCAGCAUGCCGCGGUGAAUACGUUCCCAGGCCUUGUACACACCGCCCGUCACACCAUGGGAGUUGGAUUCACCCGAAGGCAGUGCGCUAACCGCAAGGAGGCA